Non-coding RNA from Jimgerdemannia flammicorona, 104 nucleotides. Lineage: Eukaryota; Fungi; Mucoromycota; Endogonomycetes; Endogonales; Endogonaceae. The record is from the annotation of a GenBank genome assembly.
GCUGGCUUAGUGUAGUGGUUAUCACGUGUCCUUUACAUAGUGUAUAGUUUAACUAUAUAAUAUAAGAACGGACAAUGUCGCAGGUUCGAACCCUGCAGCUAGCA